Molecule: long non-coding RNA, 284 nt
Organism: Astyanax mexicanus (Mexican tetra)
Lineage: Eukaryota; Metazoa; Chordata; Actinopteri; Characiformes; Acestrorhamphidae
Exons: 3
Source: RefSeq, a predicted model, not a curated record
CGUUGGUCGGCGCAUGCGCAGUCUCGUAAAUAAGCACAUAUCUAUAGGUAGCAAAGCUCGACAGAACACCUACAUUAACAAGACAACUGCGUGUUUUUUUUUAUUUAAUUAUCCCUCCGCGGCUCCCGUAGCUCCAGAGAAGCUUGAAUGCAGUGCAGCAGGUGUGUUUCCUCUCUUCCAGGUGUGAGUAAACAGCAGGAACAGUGCUGUGAGUCUUGUGGUCUGUCUCAGUGCAGAACCGACACACACAGGUCUGGUCGUCUCUACAGAACAGCUCCAGGGGU